RNAcentral lists this unclassified non-coding RNA (349 nucleotides) under soil metagenome. RNAcentral's name for it is "partial contains 5.8S ribosomal RNA, internal transcribed spacer 2, and large subunit ribosomal RNA". The stretch from base 1 to 120 matches the Rfam family "5.8S ribosomal RNA", at positions 35 to 154 of the family's 154-position model. The record is from RNAcentral.
GAUGAAGAACGCAGCGAAAUGCGAUACGUAAUGUGAAUUGCAGAAUUCAGCGAAUCAUCGAGUCUUUGAACGCACAUUGCGCCCCCUGGUAUUCCGGGGGGCAUGCCUGUCCGAGCGUCAUUGCUGCCCUCAAGCACGGCUUGUGUGUUGGGCCUCCGCCCCCCGGCUCCCGGGGGGCGGGCCCGAAAGGCAGCGGCGGCACCGCGUCCGGUCCUCGAGCGUAUGGGGCUUCGUCACCCGCUCCGUAGGCCCGGCCGGCGCCCGCCGGCGACCCCCCUCAAUCUUUCCAGGUUGACCUCGGAUCAGGUAGGGAUACCCGCUGAACUUAAGCAUAUCAAUAAGCGGAGGA